Molecule: ribosomal RNA, 1203 nt
Filed under: metagenome
Description: bacterial LSU rRNA
Rfam family: Bacterial large subunit ribosomal RNA
Source: RNAcentral
AUACUUCCAAGAAAAGCUUGCACUGUCAUAAAUAGAAAACGCCUGUACCAUAACCGACACAGGUGGGUAGGUAGAGUAUACUAAGGGGCGCGAGAUAACUCUCUCUAAGGAACUCGGCAAAAUGACUCCGUAACUUCGGGAGAAGGAGUGCCUUAUUCGUAAGGCUGCAAUAACAAGAUCCAAGCAACUGCUUAUCAAAAACACAGGUCUCCGCUAAGUCGUAAGACGAUGUAUGGGGGCUGACGCCUGCCCAGUGCCAGAAGGUUAAAGAAGUCGGUUAACAUUAGCGAAGCUGGUAACUGAAGCCCUGGUGAACGGCGGCCGUAACGAUAACGGUCCUAAGGUAGCGAAAUUCCUUGUCGGGUAAGUUCCGACCCGCACGAAAGGCGUAAUGAUUUGGAUACUGUCUCGGAGAGGGGCUCGGUGAAAUAGACUUGUCUGUGAAGAUGCGGACUACCUGCACCAGGACAGAAAGACCCUAUGAAGCUUUACUGUAACUUGAAAUUGAAAUUGGACUUUAUUCGCGCAGUAUAGGUGGGAGGUGUUGAUUAUAAUCUUGCGGGAUUAUUGGAGCCAUCAGUGAGAUACCACUCUUGUAAUGUUAGAUUUCUAACUUUGAAUCAUUAUCUGGUCAAAGAACAGUUUCAGGCGGGCAGUUUGACUGGGGCGGUCGCCUCCUAAGUGGUAACGGAGGCGUACAAAGGUUUCCUCUGAACGGGUAGAAAUCGUAUCUAGAGUGUAAAGGCAUAAGGAAGCUUGACUGUGAGACCUACAAGUCGAGCAGGGACGAAAGUCGGUCUUAGUGAUCUGACGGUACUGAGUGGAAAGGCCGUCACUCAACGGAUAAAAGUUACUCUAGGAUAACAGGCUGAUCUCCCCCAAGAGUUCACAUCGACGGGGAGGUUUGGCACCUCGAUGUCGGCUCAUCGCAUCCUGGGGCGGUAGUACGUCCCAAGGGUUGGGCUGUUCGCCCAUGAAAGCGGUACGCGAGCUGGGUUCAGAACGUCGUGAGACAGUUCGGUCCAUAUCCGGUGUAGGCGUUAGAAUAUUGAGAGGAGCCUUCUUUAGUACGAGAGGACCGAGAAGGACAUACCUCUGGUGUACCAGUUAUCGUGCCAACGGUAAACGCUGGGUAGCUAUGUAUGGAGUGGAUAACCGCUGAAAGCAUCUAAGUGGGAAGCCCACCUCAAGAUAAGUAUUCCC